CAGCAGCCGCGGUAAUACGAAGGGGGCUAGCGUUGUUCGGAAUUACUGGGCGUAAAGCGCACGUAGGCGGAUCGAUCAGUCAGGGGUGAAAUCCCAGGGCUCAACCCUGGAACUGCCUUUGAUACUGUCGAUCUGGAGUAUGGAAGAGGUGAGUGGAAUUCCGAGUGUAGAGGCGAAAUUCGUAGAUAUUCGGAGGAACACCAGUGGCGAAGGCGGCUCACUGGUCCAUUACUGACGCUGAGGUGCGAAAGCGUGGGGAGCAAACAGGAUUAGAUACCCCAGUAGUCCCUGUCUCUUAUAC
Molecule: ribosomal RNA, 301 nt
Filed under: uncultured bacterium
Lineage: Bacteria
Description: partial 16S ribosomal RNA
Rfam family: Bacterial small subunit ribosomal RNA
Source: RNAcentral